AUGGAGGGGAAGCACAUGGUGAUGUCGGCGGUGGGGAUCGGGAUAGGCGUCGGCGUGGGGCUGGGGCUGGCGUCCGCGCCGUGGUCGGGCGGAGGGUCGGGAGGCCCGGCGCGGGCCGGGGUCACGCUGGAGCGGGUGGAGCACGAGCUCCGCCGCCUCGUCGUCGACGGCAGGGACAGCAAGGUCACCUUCGACGAGUUCCCCUACUACCUCAGUGAGCAAACACGCGUCGUGCUGACGAGCGCCGCAUACGUUCACCUGAAGCAAGCAGAGAUCUCCAAAUACACCAGGAAUCUUGCUCCGGCUAGCCGUGCGAUUCUGCUGUCAGGCCCUGCAGAGCUUUACCAGCAGAUGCUCGCCAAGGCGCUCGCGCACUAUUUCGAGGCGAAAAUCCUCCUGCUGGAUCCUACAGAUUUUCUCAUAAAGCUUCACGGCAAAUACGGCACCGGAGGCAGCGAACAGUCUGUUACAAGAUCCAUCUCUGAGACGACUCUUGAAAAGAUGUCUGGAUUACUCCAGUCUUUUACGAUGACUCCACAGAAGGAGCAAUCCAGAGGAGGUAUGCGUAGGCAAAACAGUAUGACCGACAUGAAAUUAAGGAGCUCUGAAAGUACAAACAGCAUACCCAGGCUCAGAAGAAAUGCAUCUACUUCAUCCGAUAUGAGUAGCCUGGCAUCGCAAGGCCCUCCAAGUAAUUCAGCUCCUCUCAGACGUGCUAGUAGCUGGACUUUUGAUGAGAAAAUGUUGGUACAAGCGUUGUACAAGAUUCUGCAUAAAGUAUCUAAGAAGAGCCCUAUUGUCCUCUACAUAAGAGAUGUCGAGAAGUUUCUUCACAAGUCCCCCAAAAUGUAUCUCUUAUUUGAGAAACUACUGACCAAGCUUGAAGGGCCAGUGCUACUUCUCGGCUCAAGAAUUGUGGAUAUGGACUUUGAUGAUGACGAGCUGGAUGACAGGCUAUCUGCUUUGUUCCCAUAUAGCAUAGACAUCAAGCCGCCCGAAAAUGAGAAUUGCCUUGUAAGCUGGAACUCCCAGUUAGAAGAAGAUAUGAAGAUUAUUCAGUUUCAAGAUAAUCGGAACCAUAUCACGGAAGUCCUUGCAGAGAAUGAUCUCGAGUGUCUUGAUUUAGGCUCAAUAUGUCUAUCCGAUACAAUGGGCCUCAGUAAGUAUAUUGAGGAGAUUGUGGUAUCUGCAGUUUCUUACCACUUGAUGAAUCAUAAAGACCCAGAGUACCGGAACGGAAAACUAAUUCUAUCUGCUAAAAGCUUGUCCCAUGCAUUGGAAAUUUUUCAAGAGAACAAGAUGAGCGAUAAGGACACCAUGAAGUUGGAAAGGCAUACUGACGCUCGAAAGGGAAUUGUACCGACUGCUGCAAAAUUGGAAACAAAACCUGCAACUUUGCUGCCACCAGCAGCUCCUGCUGCCGCUACUCCAGCUCCUCCUCUUGAGAGCAAAACAGAACCAAAGAAACCAGAGAAUCCACCUCCACCUGCAAAACUACCAGAAGUGCCCCCAGAUAAUGAGUUUGAAAAGCGCAUCAGACCAGAAGUGAUACCCGCGAAUGAAAUUGGAGUUUCAUUUGAUGAUAUCGGUGCAUUGGAAGAUAUCAAAGAAUCCCUUCAAGAGCUUGUCAUGCUACCCCUCCGACGGCCAGAUCUCUUCAAGGGGGGUCUUCUUAAGCCCUGUAGAGGUAUAUUACUCUUUGGUCCUCCUGGAACUGGCAAGACGAUGCUAGCCAAGGCUAUUGCAAAUGAAGCUCAAGCAAGUUUCAUCAAUGUAUCAAUGUCGACUAUCACAUCAAAGUGGUUUGGCGAAGACGAAAAGAAUGUUAGAGCACUGUUCACUUUAGCUGCUAAAGUAUCGCCCACUAUCAUUUUCGUCGAUGAGGUUGAUAGCAUGCUUGGGCAGCGAAACAGAGCUGGAGAGCAUGAGGCAAUGAGGAAGAUUAAGAAUGAGUUUAUGACACACUGGGACGGUCUCCUAUCAAGACCCGAUCAAAAAAUUCUUGUUCUUGCUGCGACCAACCGUCCUUUUGAUCUUGACGAGGCUAUCAUCAGAAGGUUUGAGCGCAGAAUCAUGGUUGGCUUACCAUCAGUGCAAAAUCGGGAAAUGAUCAUGAAGAGGCUUCUGUCAAAGGAGAAAGUUGAUGAAGGUCUAGAUUAUAAGGAACUAGCAACCAUGACUGAAGGAUACAGUGGCAGUGAUCUCAAGAACCUUUGCACAACGGCGGCAUAUCGCCCUGUGAGGGAACUGAUACAGAAGGAAAGGAAGAAGGAACUGGAGAAGAAGAAACUGGAAAAAGGCGGCACUCCACUAGAUCCUUCAAAGAUGAAAGAAAAAGACAAGGAGGUCAUUCUAAGGCCAUUAAACAUGGCAGAUUUGAAAGAAGCAAAGACCCAGGUGGCGGCGAGCUUUGCUGCUGAAGGUUCCAUAAUGGGUGAGUUGAAGCAAUGGAAUGAUUUGUAUGGUGAAGGCGGGUCGAGGAAGAAGGAGCAGUUGACGUACUUCCUGUGA
This 2511-nucleotide ribosomal RNA is filed under the name Triticum aestivum (bread wheat). RNAcentral describes it as "partial small subunit ribosomal RNA". Lineage: Eukaryota; Viridiplantae; Streptophyta; Magnoliopsida; Poales; Poaceae. The record is from RNAcentral.